AUGAUGACAAAAAAAAGAAACGAGAAGCGAUUUGUCGGAUUAGGAACGCGUUUUCAUUGGCCAGCUGCCCCAGGUUUCUCCACACACAACCCCCUCCUCUGCUCCUUUCUCUUCCUCGGCACCGCCGGAUCUGCGGCAGCUCCUGCCCAUGGUCCCCUGCCGCGCCGAGGGAGCACGGCGCCGCUGAGAUGCAGGGCGAUGCACUGCCGCCUACCGCGCCCUUGGCCUUCUCACAUCCCCUGCCCCUCCCUCCUCUUCGGCGACGGCGAGCUGUACGAGUCGGGGGCCUCCCCGCUCGUCUUCCUGAUCCAGGGCGGCGGCAUGAACCUCUCCCGCGUCGGCGAGAAUCUCCUCAGCUCCGUCUGCUGCGCGCGCUCCCUCGCCCUCCUCCCUCCGACCCCAGCCCCUUCCUGUGUCGAGGUUCCAGCUCGAGCUAUUGUUGCAGCGACGGCUGGAUUUGAUGUCACUGAAGUUCUAAAGAUUACAUGA
RNAcentral lists this ribosomal RNA (489 nucleotides) under Triticum aestivum (bread wheat). RNAcentral describes it as "partial small subunit ribosomal RNA". The record is from RNAcentral. Lineage: Eukaryota; Viridiplantae; Streptophyta; Magnoliopsida; Poales; Poaceae.